RNAcentral lists this ribosomal RNA (503 nucleotides) under uncultured bacterium. RNAcentral describes it as "bacterial SSU rRNA". It matches the Rfam family "Bacterial small subunit ribosomal RNA", at positions 8 to 507 of the family's 1533-position model. The record is from RNAcentral.
AGAGUUUGAUCAUGGCUCAGAUUGAACGCUGGCGGAAUGCUUUACACAUGCAAGUCGAGCGGCAGGCGCGGGGCAACCUGGCGGCGAGCGGCGAACGGGUGAGUAAUACAUCGGAACGUGCCCAGACGUGGGGGAUAACUACUCGAAAGAGUGGCUAAUACCGCAUACGAUCUAAGGAUGAAAGCGGGGGAUCGCAAGACCUCGCGCGUUUGGAGCGGCCGAUGGCAGAUUAGGUAGUUGGUGGGGUAAAGGCUUACCAAGCCCGCGAUCUGUAGCUGGUCUGAGAGGAUGAUCAGCCACACUGGGACUGAGACACGGCCCAGACUCCUACGGGAGGCAGCAGUGGGGAAUUUUGGACAAUGGGCGAAAGCCUGAUCCAGCCAUUCCGCGUGCAGGAUGAAGGCCCUCGGGUUGUAAACUGCUUUUGUACAGAACGAAAAAGCUCUUUCUAAUACAGAGAGUCCAUGACGGUACUGUAAGAAUAAGCACCGGCUAACUACGUG